CCUACGGGUGGCAGCAGUGGGGAAUAUUGGGCAAUGGGCGCAAGCCUGACCCAGCGACGCCGCGUGGGUGAAGAAGCGCCUCGGCGCGUAAAGCCCUGUCAGCAGGGAAGAAAAUGACGGUACCUGAAGAAGAAGCCCCGGCUAACUACGUGCCAGCAGCCGUGGUAAUACGUAGGGGGCAAGCGUUAUCCGGAUUUACUGGGUGGAAAGGGGGCGCAGACGGCGAUGCAAGCCAGGAGUGAAAGCCCGGGGCCCAACCCCGGGACUGCUCUUGGAACUGCGUGGCUGGAGUGCAGGAGGGGCAGGCGGAAUUCCUGGUGUAGCGGUGAAAUGCGUAGAUAUCAGGAGGAACACCGGUGGCGAAGGCGGCCUGCUGGACUGCAACUGACGUUGAGGCCCGAAAGCGUGGGGAGCAAACAGGAUUAGAUACCCCGGUAGUC
This 440-nucleotide ribosomal RNA is filed under the name uncultured bacterium. RNAcentral describes it as "partial 16S ribosomal RNA". It matches the Rfam family "Bacterial small subunit ribosomal RNA", at positions 338 to 795 of the family's 1533-position model. The record is from RNAcentral.